This 76-nucleotide transfer RNA is filed under the name Rhodospirillaceae bacterium. Its description in RNAcentral is "tRNA-Lys". It matches the Rfam family "tRNA". Rfam says of the family: Transfer RNA (tRNA) molecules are approximately 80 nucleotides in length. Their secondary structure includes four short double-helical elements and three loops (D, anti-codon, and T loops). Further hydrogen bonds mediate the characteristic L-shaped molecular structure. tRNAs have two regions of fundamental functional importance: the anti-codon, which is responsible for specific mRNA codon recognition, and the 3' end, to which the tRNAs corresponding amino acid is attached (by aminoacyl-tRNA synthetases). tRNAs cope with the degeneracy of the genetic code in two manners: having more than one tRNA (with a specific anti-codon) for a particular amino acid; and 'wobble' base-pairing, i.e. permitting non-standard base-pairing at the 3rd anti-codon position. Lineage: Bacteria; Pseudomonadati; Pseudomonadota; Alphaproteobacteria; Rhodospirillales; Rhodospirillaceae. The record is from RNAcentral. RNAcentral also lists the same sequence under 5 other names.
GGGCGCGUAGCUCAGUUGGUAGAGCAGUUGACUUUUAAUCAGCGGGUCACAGGUUCGAACCCUGUCGCGCUCACCA